UCGUAGGCGGUCUGUCGCGUCUGCUGUGAAAACCUCAGGCUCAACCUGGGGCUUGCAGUGGGUACGGGCAGACUAGAGUGCGGUAGGGGUGACUGGAAUUCCUGGUGUAGCGGUGGAAUGCGCAGAUAUCAGGAGGAACACCGAUGGCGAAGGCAGGUCACUGGGCCGCAACUGACGCUGAGGAGCGAAAGCAUGGGGAGCGAACAGGAUUAGAUACCCUGGUAGUCCAUGCCGUAAACGUUGGGCACUAGGUGUGGGGUCCAUUCCACGGAUUCCGUGCCGCAGCAAACGCAUUAAGUGCCCCGCCUGGGGAGUACGGCCGCAAGGCUAAAACUCAAAGAAAUUGACGGGGGCCCGCACAAGCGGCGGAGCAUGCGGAUUAAUUCGAUGCAACGCGAAGAACCUUACCAAGGCUUGACAUGCACCGGUAACACUCAGAGAUGGGUGCCCCGCAAGGUCGGUGCACAGGUGGUGCAUGGUUGUCGUCAGCUCGUGUCGUGAGAUGUUGGGUUAAGUCCCGCAACGAGCGCAACCCUCGUCCCAUGUUGCCAGCGGGUUAUGCCGGGGACUCAUGGGAGACUGCCGGGGUCAACUCGGAGGAAGGUGGGGAUGACGUCAAAUCAUCAUGCCCCUUAUGUCUUGGGCUUCACGCAUGCUACAAUGGCCGGUACAAAGGGCUGCGAUACCGCGAGGUGGAGCGAAUCCCAAAAAGCCGGUCUCAGUUCGGAUUGGGGUCUGCAAC
Molecule: ribosomal RNA, 742 nt
Filed under: uncultured bacterium
Lineage: Bacteria
Description: bacterial SSU rRNA
Rfam family: Bacterial small subunit ribosomal RNA
Source: RNAcentral